This is an RNA transcript of Oncorhynchus kisutch (coho salmon), 7058 nucleotides long. It is a transcript of the gene named RNA-binding protein 15 pseudogene, with no coding region annotated. NCBI's taxonomy places the organism in Eukaryota, Metazoa, Chordata, Actinopteri, Salmoniformes, Salmonidae. The record is from RefSeq and is a predicted model, not a curated record. The transcript has a single exon.
GGCUCUGAUAGAAUUCUAGACAAAAUGGCGGAUGUUGUUGAUUUGCGGCAGGGUCAGUGAUAAUCGGAGUUCACCUUUUCACUGAUUUACUGCAAGACAUUAUACAGAAAUAAUAUAAGACAAGUCAUAAUCGUUGUAUGGUGAGCUGCAAUGAAAGGCAAAGAAAGGUCACCGAUUAAAAAGCGUUCUCGGGCUUUGGAUGAUAUCCGAGACAGGGGAGGAGGCCACCCGCCCAGCAAGAAAAUGAGGGCUAUCUCGGUUUCCAGUGGGAGUAAUAAUGGAAAUAGCUCGACUAAAAGUGACGGAGGAUCUACAAGAAGGAGUUUGUUGGGUGACAAGAGAGGCCGGGAUUUUGAUGGACAUGUAUCGAGUCGAACCGGUGGGAGUAACCAUAGCUAUCCCGUUGCUGCUGCAACCUCUACCGGUAAGAACCACAACCUGGGUUUGACACUCGAUUUAGCCGCGGCAAGGACUAAUGCUCGCGGCGAGCGUGUUCCGCCUCCACCUAACAACAACGAGAGUGAGUACAAAACUCUCAAAAUCAGUGAACUGGGUACCCAGUUGAGCGAUGAAGACAUAGAAGAUGGACUUUUCCACGAAUUCAAAAAAUUCGGGGACGUGAGUGUCAAAAUAAGCCGCAGCAACGACGAGAGAAUUGCUUUUGUCAACUUCAGAAAGCCCGAGGAUGCCAGAGCUGCUAAACACGCACGGGGCAGGUUAGUACUUUAUGACCGACCUCUGAAAAUCGAUGCAGUGUACAUUAACAGGAGGAGAAGCCGUUCUCCAGUUGAGCGAGUUGACAGAGACCCAUAUGUUGGAGCCCCAGGCCACAGACACUUACACACCCAGAGACCCCUCUCCCCAUCUGUGCUUGGAUACAGAGACUACAGACUACAGCAGCUGGCCCUUGGGCGCCUCCCUCCUCCCCCACCCCCUCCUUUGCCCAGAGACCUAGAGCGGGAGAGGGAGUUUGCCCUGUUUGAAGCCAGGGUGCGCCCAGGUCCAGCUUUCAUUGCAGAGAGAGCUUCUGCUUUCCGCGAUGAGGAUUUUAUCUCCCCAGAGGAUGACCAAAGAGCUAACAGAACGCUGUUUCUGGGCAACUUGGACAUCACUGUCACAGAGACAGACCUGAGACGGGCCUUCGACAGGUUUGGGUUGAUAACAGAGGUGGAUAUUAAGCCCACACGAGGACAGACCAGCACAUACGGGUUCCUCAAGUUUGAGAAUCUCGACAUGGCCCACCGCGCCAAACUCACCAUGUCUGGGAAGAUAGUGGGUCGUAACCCCAUAAAGAUUGGCUAUGGUAAGGCCACCCCUACCACACGCCUAUGGGUGGGUGGGCUCGGACCCUGGGUCCCCCUAGCAGCAUUGGCCAGAGAGUUUGACCGCUUUGGUACAAUAAGGACCAUUGACUACAGAAAGGGGGACACCUGGGCUUACAUACAGUACGAGAGCCUUGACGCUGCUCAGGCUGCGUGCACUCACAUGCGUGGCUUCCCUCUGGGGGGGCCUGAGAGGAGACUCAGGGUGGACUUUGCAGACACAGAGCACCACUACCAGCAGCAGUUCCUUCAGCCUCUUCCUCUACCCUCCUUCGACAUGGUGGCAGAGGCUUUCAUCCACCGCGCCAUAGCUGAGCCCCCGAGGGACAGGACUCCACCACUGCUCCACUUCAGAGAGAGAGAACUGGGUUUCCCCGGGGCCGAGUGGCCCCCCAUCCCGGCUAUGCGUGAGCGAGUACGUCCCGGGACCUUUGAGCCGCUGGAGCGGGACCGGCGGCCGGGAGGGAGGGAACCCUGGUCUCUGGAGCGAGAGCUGGCGGGGCGCGGCUGUGACCCAAGACGGAAACGACACCUUAUGGAUGACGGUCGCCAUCUUGACGUCUCUCCUGACAGCACUGACCGCACGGCACGCCGACACCGAGGGGGUCCAACCCCAGAUGGUAGCCCCAACGGGGGCCGCUUCAGUGACUCAGAGCGUACCCCUCGUGGCGGCGACGACAGACCCUCCCCUGGACGAGACCGUCGCCUCAGUCUGGAGCAUCCUGGCGGGGGGGACAGGAGACUAAAGAGCCAGGGGAGUCUUGCCGAAAGAGGGGCCUCCAGCAGUGGCCUCUCAUCCUCAGCAGGGGAACGGAAACGUAAAGCCGGCGACAGCAGCAGCAAAGGACCCGGAGCUAAGAGGGAUCGCUCCUCAGACCAGGGCGGCUCUAAAGGCAGUCAGUCAUCCAAGCUGAGCCUGGCCUGGCACGGCAUGCUCCUCCUGAAGAACAGCAACUUCCCCGCCAACAUGCACCUCCUGGAGGGUCACCAGGGCGUGGCCAAGGACCUCCUCGUCGACGGCCCCACGGGGAGACAGGUUGGGGAGCUCAAGAUCACCCAGCGUCUCCGCCUCGACCAGCCCAAGCUGGACGAGGUCUCCAGACGCAUCAAAGCUGCCGGCCCCGGCGGCUACGCCGUCCUCCUGGCGGUUCCCGGUUCCGGCGGCGAGGAGGUGUCGUCGACGGACCCUGCAGCUUCAACACAGCGUCCUCUCCGAAAUCUGGUGUCCUACCUGAAACAGAAGCAGGCAGCCGGAGUCAUCAGCCUGCCUGUUGGAGGCAGCCGGGAUAAGGACCACCAGGGUGUUCUCCAUGCGUUCCCUCCCUGUGAGUUCUCACAGCAGUUCAUUGAUGCCUCGGCUAAAGCUCUGGCCAAAACCGACGAGGACUAUCUGGUGAUGGUCGUGGUGCGAGGUCCAUCAUAACUACAAUCAGAUAGAGGAAGCAAAACAUCAAUGAUAUUGUAAAAAAAGAAGAAGAAAAACGACUAUUGCAUGCUGUGUGUUGAGUUCUGCCUCAUGGGGUGCUACUAGAGAGUAGGGUUAUGGGGAGGAUAGGGAGGAUAGGCUAUGUCACUAUUUUUCCCACCAAAAUAAGUAUAAUAUGUCCCCUGAAAGUCAACAAAUGUGUAAUUUUGGAACCCUGUUUUAUAAAGGGUGUGAUCAUUUCUAGCCAGUAUUUGCAGAAACAAUUCUGCUGGAAUAUUAUAAAAGGGGGACAUUCUAUAAAUAAAAUGAAAAAUCUACUGUAAUUUAAAAUGAGGUAUAAUGGCCCCUUUUUUUGUUUUCAUUUAGGAAAACUUGAACCAACCGCUGUUUGUAAAAGUCUAAACUUCUCUCUUAAGAUUUGCUCUGCUGUUAGUGUUUGGUUGAAUUAUGUAUACGUUAUACUACUUUAUGCUUAUUACAAUCAGUUGGCGUCAUUUAAAGUUAAUUAUAUAUUUUUAGCAAAAUAGUCACCUCAAAACCCUUUGUUCACUAACCAUUUCUUUAUUCUAAAUGUCACAUUUUGAGAAAGAUAUCAUCAGGCCCUGUUUUGACUGGUAUGGUGAGGCUAUAAAUCAUUCUGUUUGGAUUUCUCAUAAAAAAAAUGAUUGGGGACAUUAAUGUUGGGAUAUGUCCUUACUGGCUUUCUCUAAUACAUGAACGUGUUCUAAACCUAGAAAUCUGAAUGUACCUAUAUGCACGGUAGGCUAUCUGGUGUUCGGUUACACCUGGUGUUUUACCCUGUGUAACUGGUUCGGUUACACCUGGUGUUUUACCCUGUGUAACUGGUUCGGUUACAACUGGUGUUUUACCCUGUGUAACUGGUUCGGUUACAACUGGUGUUUUACCCUGUGUAACUGGUUCGGUUACACCUGGUGUUUUACCCUGUGUAACUGGUUCGGUUACACCUGGUGUUUUACCCUGUGUAACUGGUUCGGUUACACCUGGUGUUUUACCCUGUGUAACUGGUUCGGUUACACCUGGUGUUUUACCCUGUGUAACUGGUUCGGUUACACCUGGUGUUUUACCCUGUGUAACUGGUUCGGUUACACCUGGUGUUUUACCCUGUGUAACUGGUUCGGUUACACCUGGUGUUUUACCCUGUGUAACUGGUUCGGUUACACCUGGUGUUUUACCCUGUGUAACUGGUUCGGUUACACCUGGUGUUUUACCCUGUGUAACUGGUUCGGUUACACCUGGUGUUUUACCCUGUGUAAUUGGUUCGGUUACACCUGAAAAUCCUGUGUGUUCAUGGAAUGGUUAAUGGAACACUACAAAGUGGAUUGUGACAAAAAUGUGUAAAGGAGGUUGAAACACCUAUACAUGGGUUUUAGUUGCUGAGUGUAAAUUCUUAACUUGGCUGUGGUGUAGCUUAAAUACAGUGUGUUCAAUCGGUUUUCAGAAGUGUUUUAAUGUUUAAGCGACUCUCCAGUAACAUUUGAACAUAUUGAGAGGCUGAAUGAGGAAUUUAGAAGUGAUUUUUGCCCAGCUGAUAUAGAUGGGUCCAUCAAUGCAAUGACGCGACAAACAUAUAGCCUACUAAGAGAGAUGCUACGGGUAGAUUUUAUUGUGUACAUUGUCUUUAGCACCACUUGACCCUUGGUAGUACGUUGUGACCUAUAACCUUUGACCUAUAAUGUGUGAUAAGAUUACACUAGCGAAAAAACUGACUUUUAUUUGUUGGUCCGGUUUCAUUCAAUCAAUAUGCUCUGUCGCCAAGUUUGUCUGAAAUAUGACAAUAUUUUAAUGCUAUUUGCUAACAAAUUAUAUACAGUAAACCUAAUAAUCAAUAAGUAAAAAGGUAUUCAAUAUAUAAACGGAUCAUUUAGUUUUUUGGGGGGGGGGAUUGUACGUUUUAUAAGUUGUAGUGCUAUUAUUUUGUAGGAUUUAUUUUUAUUUUUUUAACCACAGUUUUCCCCUUUGUCAGCCAACAGUUAUAUUUUUAAGACUUAUAUUUAUAGCCUACUGUUGGUACCAUUAUAUGACUGUUUUAAGAUGAGGUAGGGUUUAUUUUUUAUCUGUUGACGACAAAAUUGUCUGAGAAGAAAAAGAUGUAUUUGUCUCCCAAGUUCACUGCCUCAACUGUGGACUUUUUUAAAUGUCUUUAAAACCUUUACAGGAAUCUCUGAAGAGAAGGAAACUACUUAGUAUUUGUUAAAUUUUCACUGAGAAGGCAGCUUUUAAGUUGUGGUGUAAUUUUGUGUUGUUUAAAGUGGAAUAAUUAGGACCCUCUCGCUUUGUUCUUGUGUACCUGAUUUCAUUGGGAAGACAAGAAAUGGAAAAUCCUCUUCCCACACUCGUCUUACUGCCAAGUUGUUUAAACACUCAAAGAGAGAGUGCAUUUACGCACUUAUUAGUCCUCUAAAUAUCAAUAAAUUGUUUCAUUUGAGGGAAACCUGUUUCUGCCCUGGAAAUGAAUUGAACAGAGGGAACUGCUCUGACUACCACGUCUAUUGUGUUCCCAAACAGGAAAUGGUUUAUCACUUUGAAUUGUUGCACAAGAGAAGGGAACCAAACACCUCUUUGCUGAUUGUUAGAGACUGAUGAUCGCCUGUGUGUGUUCUCUUAUACACACCUUUUUAGGAGCUGUUGGUAAUCUGUUUAGCUAACAGGCGCUGUUCAGAAGUUGUUGCUAAUUAAUAGCAUACCUUUUGAACCCAGUACUUUUUUUUUUUUUUUUUACCCCUCCAGGGCCGGGCUCCUCGUGUUAGUCCUACUGCCCUAGCAGGUGAACCCAGUACACAGUGGGGCAGGAAUCACAGGAUCAAUGGAGGAGCCUCCCACUGUGCCCACUGUGUCCGUGUCCUGCUGGUUUUCAACCACCAGCCCAUGUCCUGCUGCUCAGCUGUGUGGAACAGUGGCAGGCUGACACACUAGUGCAGUAUGUGGGAGAAUGGAGCUGGAAUACAGUAGCAGCUCCUUUUCAUUUCAUUGUCCUCUACAAGGUUUGAGUCUUCACAGGCUGGAUUUGCCGCAUGCCCCCAUGUCUUUCACUGUUGUCUUCUACAAUGCUGGUCUGUUUGAGUUGACCACAGCCUGGGGUGUGUCUGUGGCUCCGCCUUGUCCACGGUUCCCUACACAAGCAGAGGUCCUGUCACCGGCUGCCACGCAUAAUGCACCUCUUUGGGUGCAGUUUCUUAACUCGCACAGCAGCUCUACAGUACCACUGCAAGCUGUUGCACUGCUGAGGGAGUCACCUUGACCUGUGACCUUUUCCAAGUGACCUGUCAACAUCUCCCAGAAGAAUGAUUAUUUGUUGCCAUCAUAAUUUAGAUUUCUUCAGUUUAUGAUUUGACUCCCAUGUAUGCAGUGAAUGGAUGGAAGAUCGCCCCCAUGUCAUGAAUAGGAAUAUUGUUUAUUGUCGCUGUGCUUUUAUUGAUUGAAUCUUUUUCCUGAAAGAGGAUCAGGAGUAUGUUUGUUCUGCUACGGUUUCCCACGACGACCGCAGAAUAACAUCCGACAUCAUCAACUUCACAUUUCACGUGAACAAGGGGAAUUUAAACAGAAAAGAUCAAGUGAGUAGUUUGACUCAACAUUUCCACGUCGUGAAAGGAUCCAUAUAUAUAUAUUUUUAAUUUGUUUUUAUUUUGUGACAGUUCAACCAAAAGGCCUCUUAUCCAAAUGAAGAAAUAUUUCAUAUUUAUCCCCUAUAGCUCCUACCCAGUACGAGUGCAUCACGGCCUCCCCUCAGUACAAGUGCAAUAAUAGCAGAGAUUAAAUCCCACCUGCCGUUGUUGCUGAGAAAAAAAGACAUUGCCACUGGAGAAAUGACCUCUAGAGGAUCAUGGAGGAACUGCGGGACCAGAGGACGCUGCUGUAGAUACUGUAAGAGCCAUAGGUAGCCACUACACUACACUGAUGGCAUGGAGAGAGACAGCUUGUUGCUGUCACUCCCUGUUGGGGAAUAAGGAGAGGGGAGUCUGCUGCCUGGCCUUUAUUAUAAAUCUGGAAGAAGCAGAGGUAUGUAUAUUUAAUUUAUUCUACCUUUAUUUAAACAGGAAGACACAGAUUAAAAAUCUCUUUUACAAGAGAGCCCUGUAUACAUUACAAUAAAAACAGAAUGAUAACACAACAUACACAUAUGUAUAUAAAAACCUAAUUCAGUACACAAUAACAAAAUACACAUAUUUAAUACAAGCAAUCACAAGCAACUACAUAGAGGUUCUACAUCAAUAAUUUAAACUGAGUGGCCACAGCACAACUAACUGCAGUGAACUCUGCAGAUUGUUCCACAAAUUAAGUGCAACAAAAUG